GUAAGAGAAAGACAUGGAAUUGAGCUGGUAGGAUGAAGAGCAGGACCUGCCACAGUGGGAAGAUAGACGAGCCAAUGCAAUGAGGACCCAGAAGCAUGGACUAUGUUAGACUGGGAGAUCAGGACAGCCUGCAGAGAGUGGCAUCUUGAGAAGAACCUUGGAGGAUGAGUGAGAUAUUGAAGAAUGUUUAGUUAAAAUGGGAACUUUUAGCUUGAGUCAGUAAGAGCAAAGGCUUCAAGUCAUGAAAAGCCACAUUGGCAAAUAUGCAGAGUAGCUGAGCUUCUGGUGUCUUCUGAGCUCAGGGUCCAGCACAGCAUAGCUGGGAACACCGUCCACCACGGGAUGAAGCUGAGGAGGAAGGUUGAAGAUUUUUCCUGGUUAUCUGUGAGUGGAAAUUAUGAUUGUUGUAAAGAAGUAACAACUUUGGAAACAUGGAGGAUGUCACACAGACGUAUUUUGGAACAUUACUGUCCCUCCAACCCCAAUAAUUGAGUCAUCAUCAACAUCAUUAUCACCAAUAUCUUCAAAACCUUCAACAAAACUUUAACAAAUUCCUGGUCACAAUCUUCAGUAUUCUCUCCCAGGUGCAGCAGAAGAGGAUUAAGGAAGAAAAGAACAAGUCAAAGUCAGAGAGGAAGUAAAGGACAGAAUACAGGUCCACAGUGACUACUGGUUUACUAACCUUGUUUCCCAUGCUAUUGGAGUAGCCAAAAAACUAGGAACUGAGCAACAUGGACUGUACUUAUACUCACUCUGAUGGUCUGGGGUUUCCCCUAUAGGUUAUAUAUGAUUGAUGCAUACAUUUAGUUUUUUGAGACAGGGUCUCACUAUGUAGUCCAGGCUGGCCUUAAACUCACAACCAUCUUCCUCUUGCCUCAGCCUCCCCAGUUCUGGGAUUACAGGAGUGUGCCACGAUGCCUGGCUUAUUAUGUAUAUUUAUAGAGAAGCAAAAGUUCAUUGGAGGUGAUCUGGUUCCUGAGCCAUCUCCUUCUUGUUCAACUGCAACCAUUACACUCAUUCUGUGGAAGUUUUACUUUUUCAUUUGUGCUGAUACUCUGGGCUCUAUUCCUGUUGUGAGGCAUUUAUUGCAGUGCCACUUCUUCAAUGUAUAGGCAAACAAACUGGGAGCUAGAGAUAUUAAACAAUUUACCCAAAUCUAC
This 1160-nucleotide long non-coding RNA is filed under the name Heterocephalus glaber (naked mole-rat). RNAcentral describes it as "lncRNA (ENSHGLG00000040180.1)". Lineage: Eukaryota; Metazoa; Chordata; Mammalia; Rodentia; Bathyergidae. The record is from RNAcentral.